RNAcentral lists this ribosomal RNA (270 nucleotides) under uncultured bacterium. RNAcentral's name for it is "partial 16S ribosomal RNA". It matches the Rfam family "Bacterial small subunit ribosomal RNA", at positions 88 to 354 of the family's 1533-position model. The record is from RNAcentral.
CCGGCGACCGGCGCACGGGUGAGUAACACGUAUGCAACCUGGCCGUCACAGGUGGAUAACCGGAAGAAAUUCCGACUAAUACAGCAUAACACUCCUGAGGGACAUCCUUCGGGAGUCAAAGGAGGCAACUCCGGUGACGGAUGGGCAUGCGGCGCAUUAGGUAGUUGGUAGGGUAACGGCCUACCAAGCCGACGAUGGAUAGGGGUUCUGAGAGGAAGGUCCCCCACAUUGGAACUGAGACACGGUCCAAACUCCUACGGAAGGCAGCAG